This 1389-nucleotide ribosomal RNA is filed under the name bioreactor metagenome. RNAcentral's name for it is "bacterial LSU rRNA". It matches the Rfam family "Bacterial large subunit ribosomal RNA", at positions 1100 to 2505 of the family's 2925-position model. The record is from RNAcentral.
GUUGGCUUAGAAGCAGCCACUCAUUUAAAGAGUGCGUAAUAGCUCACUAGUCGAGAGAUCCUGCGCCGAAAAUGUCCGGGGCUCAAACUUACCACCGAAGCUACGGGCUUGCGUAAGCAAGCGGUAGGGGAGCGUCGUAAUCGGGCUGAAGUCGUACCGUAAGGAGCGGUGGACUGAUUACGAGUGAGAAUGUUGGCAUUAGUAGCGAGAUGUAGGUGAGAAUCCUACAGGCCGAAUAUCUAAGGUUUCCUCAGGAAGGCUCGUCCGCUGAGGGUUAGUCGGGACCUAAGCCGAGGCCGAAAGGCGUAGGCGAUGGACAAUCGGUUGAUAUUCCGAUACCACUACCAUCGUUAUUAUCGAGGGUGUGACGGAGAAGGAUAGUGUGUGCUAGCGAUUGGAAAUGCUAGUCUAAGCGUUUAGGGAGUUACGGUAGGCAAAUCCGCUGUAACAAUUCUGAGGCGUGAUGGGGAAGGCCAUAAGGCCGAAGUACAUGAUUCCAUGCUUCCAAGAAAAGCAUCUAGAGAGAGAAGUAGUGCCCGUACCGCAAACCGACACAGGUAGAUGAGGAGAGAAUCCUAAGGCCGGCGGAAGAAUUGCAGUUAAGGAACUAGGCAAAUUGACCCCGUAAGUUCGCGAGAAGGGGUGCCUGCGAGAGCAGGCCGCAGAGAAUAGGCCCAAGCAACUGUUUAGCAAAAACACAGGUCUCUGCUAAAGCGUAAGCUGAUGUAUAGGGGCUGACGCCUGCCCGGUGCUGGAAGGUUAAGGGGAAUACUUAGCGCAAGCGAAGGUAUGAACUUAAGCCCCAGUAAACGGCGGCCGUAACUAUAACGGUCCUAAGGUAGCGAAAUUCCUUGUCAGGUAAGUUCUGACCCGCACGAAUGGCGUAAUGACUUGGGCACUGUCUCAACUGCAAAUCCGGCGAAGUUGUAGUGCGAGUGAAGAUGCUCGCUACCCGCGAUUGGACGGAAAGACCCCGUAGAGCUUUACUGCAGCUUAGCAUUGAAUUCCGGUAUUGUCUGUACAGGAUAGGUGGGAGACUGGGAAACUAGGGCGUCAGCCUUAGUGGAGUCAACCUUGGGAUACCACCCUGACAGUACUGGGGUUCUAACAGGACGCCAUGAAUCUGGUGACUGGACAUUGUUAGGUGGGCAGUUUGACUGGGGCGGUCGCCUCCUAAAAAGUAACGGAGGCGCCCAAAGGUUCCCUCAGAACGGUCGGAAAUCGUUCGUAGAGUGCAAAGGCAGAAGGGAGCCUGACUGCGAGACCUACAAGUCGAGCAGGGACGAAAGUCGGGCUUAGUGAUCCGGUGGUACCUCGUGGGAGGGCCAUCGCUCAACGGAUAAAAGCUACCUCGGGGAUAACAGGCUGAUCUCCCCCAAGAGUCCACAU